UACGUAGGGUGCGAGCGUUGUCCGGAAUUACUGGGCGUAAAGAGCUCGUAGGUGGUUUGUCGCGUUGUCCGUGAAAUUCCCUGGCUUAACUGGGGGCGUGCGGGCGAUACGGGGCAGACUGGAGUACUGCAGGGGAGACUGGAAUUCCUGGUGUAGCGGUGGAAUGCGCAGAGUAUCAGGAGGAACACCGGUGGCGAAGGCGGG
RNAcentral lists this ribosomal RNA (204 nucleotides) under uncultured bacterium. Its description in RNAcentral is "partial 16S ribosomal RNA". It matches the Rfam family "Bacterial small subunit ribosomal RNA", at positions 524 to 725 of the family's 1533-position model. The record is from RNAcentral.